This 75-nucleotide transfer RNA is filed under the name Candidatus Bathyarchaeota archaeon. RNAcentral describes it as "tRNA-Gly". It matches the Rfam family "tRNA". Rfam says of the family: Transfer RNA (tRNA) molecules are approximately 80 nucleotides in length. Their secondary structure includes four short double-helical elements and three loops (D, anti-codon, and T loops). Further hydrogen bonds mediate the characteristic L-shaped molecular structure. tRNAs have two regions of fundamental functional importance: the anti-codon, which is responsible for specific mRNA codon recognition, and the 3' end, to which the tRNAs corresponding amino acid is attached (by aminoacyl-tRNA synthetases). tRNAs cope with the degeneracy of the genetic code in two manners: having more than one tRNA (with a specific anti-codon) for a particular amino acid; and 'wobble' base-pairing, i.e. permitting non-standard base-pairing at the 3rd anti-codon position. Lineage: Archaea; Thermoproteati; Candidatus Bathyarchaeota. The record is from RNAcentral. RNAcentral also lists the same sequence under 1 other name.
GCGGCCGUCGUCUAGCCUGGCUAAGACGUCAGCCUUCCAAGCUGAAGAUCCCGGGUUCGAAUCCCGGCGGCCGCA